GCCCUUCACUAUAAAGCAAGGGCGCAGUGUGCGCCUUGCUGGGAAAAAAAAGGGGCCAUCCGGCCCUUUUCUUUUCUUCUUACCUGAAGAGGCAGUGCCUCUUCUCCUUAUUUUUCUCUUAUGGAUUUUUAUAGAAAAUCUUUGAUCUACGAAGAUCCAACGGUCCGAUCUUCGAUCCGACUUGGGUAACGUGAUCUACGAAGUUCGAUCUACGUUUUUACAGAUCGUCUUGAGAUUUUGGGUAGUUUAGAGUUGCUAGGAGCUUCCCGAGCAUUUGGUCUUUGCUUGGCGAAUUUUUGUGAUACAUUGCAAGGUGAUGUCUAGGAGACCUAGUGCUUAAUAUCCGCGCAGCCAGGUUAUGAACAGAGAGACUUAGGCGGCCGGGAUGGGAUCUAGGAUUUGCAUUAGAUCAUUGCAUCUCAAUUACCUUAAUAAGUGCACUUGCACAACAAAUUUAGCUUUUCUUUAAAUUCUCAGUUAUUGAAACUUUCAUAAUUAAAUUUUCGAAAUAACCGUUUCCGCAUUUAUUAAAGCUCUGAGUUUUAAAAUCUUUAUUAUUUAUCGUUAUUAAAUUCAGCAUAUUAGCUAGGUUGUUGGCAGACCUUACGAAUCUUUGCAGUUUUUAAAAAUAAAAAGACGAACCUAACCCUUAGCGGUUUGGGGGCGUUACAGUUUUGGUAUCAGAGCAAGAUACCGAGAAAAAGAGAAAAAGAAUGGAGAUUUUAAAAUCUCCAUUCUUUUUCUCGCAAUGGAACUUCUACGUAUGGGUCUAACUGCAUAGUAUGUUUUAAAGGUUUUCUGAUAGUCGGUGUAGACUAUAUCAGCUAUGGGGGUUUUCAAACAAAAUUCUAUAAAUUGGUAGCUGUUAUAGUGUACACGAGACUAAAAAGAAAAGUUUGUUCAUUUGGAAAAACUCAGUUAGUUUAAUAUCACUGAGGUCUCGGUAUUAUGUACUGAGGCGGUGAACUAAUACUUUCGGUUAGUAUUGUUUGAGUUUUAGUUAGUGUUUAGGAUUUAUGGGUAGGCGUUUGGAACCCUUAAAAUAUUAUAGUUUUUCCAACGGUUUAGCCUUGAGCGAUUCAAGUGCUAAUUAGGGUGUUAAUUACUUAAUGUGCUAAAUAGUGCAAUGUGUUAUUUCACAGUGAUACAUUGCAAGGUGAUGUCUAGGAGACCUAGUGCUUAAUAUCCGCGCAGCCAGAAAAUCCUUGAUCUACGAAGAUCCAAUGGUCCGAUCUUCGAUCCGACUUGGGUAACGUGAUUUACGAAGCUCGAUCUACGUUUUUACCGAUCGUCUUGAGAUUUUGGGUAGUUUGGAGUUGCUAGGAGCUUCCCGAGCAUUUGGUCUUUGCUUGGCGAAUUUUUGUAUUCAGGGUGCUUCUUCUGUUGCAAAUAUGGCUCGACGUCUGCAAGUUCGGGGAAAUGAAAUUCAAGCGCAGAAAGCUCAAAUUUCGACUUUGCAGCGAAUGUAUAUGGACUUUAGGCGAAGAAAUCGGGUUCUUCAACGAGAAAAUAAAGAGCUCAAGAAACUUGUAGACUCAUAUGCGAAUGACCUGGGAAAGAGAUAUACUGAUUUGGAGCAGAACACUAAUCGUCUCCGAGAUCAACACAAGGAUCUCUUGCUUGCGGUCCAAAACCUUAGGGUUUUCCGCCCAAAAACUUAGCCAGGUAUAAGCAUACCGAACUCUCCGGGAAUGAUGCAGAAAAGGUCCGAUUUGCAAGUCUAUGGUUUUCUUUGAAUCACCAGUAGUCUAUCUUAACCAAGAUGGAAGACACAAUACCCAUCAAGCUUCACUCACACACACACCUAAGGCCAAGAGAGAAAAUUGUGGGAUUUGUGUAGUUUUGUGUGGUUUAAGGCUUGAAGUAUGUGCAAGGAAGUAUUUUGGUAAAAGCUCGAUCCCGAUGCUAAUGGAAAGUCCAAGUUAUGAACAGAGAGACCUAGGCGGCCGGAAUGGGAUCUAGGAAUGCAUUAGAAUAUUGCAUUUAUGUUUUCUUAAUAAGUGCACUUGCACAACAAAUUUAGUUUUCUUUGGAUUUUUAAUUAUUAAAUCAAAAAUAAUUGUUUAUUUCGAAAUAACCGUUUCCGCAUUUAUUAAAAGCUCUGAGUUUUAAAAUCA
Long non-coding RNA from Alnus glutinosa, 2117 nucleotides. RefSeq lists it as uncharacterized. NCBI's taxonomy places the organism in Eukaryota, Viridiplantae, Streptophyta, Magnoliopsida, Fagales, Betulaceae. The record is from RefSeq and is a predicted model, not a curated record. The transcript is spliced from 10 exons.